GAUGAAGAACGUAGCGAAAUGCGAUAAGUAAUGCGAAUUGCAGAAUUCCAGUGAGUCAUCGAAUCUUUGAACGCACAUUGCGCCCUUUGGUAUUCCGAAGGGCAUGCCUGUUCGAGCGUCAUUAUCACCCCUCAAGCCCUGUGCUUGGUGUUGGACGGCUAGGUCGAGUAAUGUCGACCCCUCCCAAAGACAAUGACGGCGGCCUGUGGUUCCCCCGGUACACUGAGCUUUUAACUGAGCACGUAUCGGACAAGGGCACCCGGGACACGGUCCUCUCCUUUAGCUAGGAAACUUCUCAAGGUUGACCUCGGAUCAGGUAGGAAUACGCGCUGAACUUAAGCAUAUCAAUAAGCGGAGGA
Molecule: unclassified non-coding RNA, 359 nt
Filed under: soil metagenome
Description: partial contains 5.8S ribosomal RNA, internal transcribed spacer 2, and large subunit ribosomal RNA
Rfam family: 5.8S ribosomal RNA (bases 1-121)
Source: RNAcentral